AGGGAGUUAGCUCAAACGGUAGAGCGUACUGGCGGAAAACAGUAGGAGCAGGUUCGAUUCCUGCACUCCCAA
Molecule: transfer RNA, 72 nt
Filed under: Caudoviricetes sp.
Lineage: Duplodnaviria; Heunggongvirae; Uroviricota; Caudoviricetes
Description: tRNA-Phe
Rfam family: tRNA
About the family: Transfer RNA (tRNA) molecules are approximately 80 nucleotides in length. Their secondary structure includes four short double-helical elements and three loops (D, anti-codon, and T loops).
Source: RNAcentral